This 221-nucleotide unclassified non-coding RNA is filed under the name Hevea brasiliensis (rubber tree). Lineage: Eukaryota; Viridiplantae; Streptophyta; Magnoliopsida; Malpighiales; Euphorbiaceae. The record is from RNAcentral.
GAUAAUAUUCAUGUGCUCACACCACCUCCAGGAGCACACCACCUCCAGCUUGCUCUGUCGUCCCUGCUCAGUGCUUGCGCUAGAGUUGCAGCCCAGGAGCCAGAAUUACUACAGCAACAUGGUGUCAUAGGAAUCUCAGCUCUUCUGAAGAAUCUUUGCAGAAAUGGGAAAAAGAACAUUUGAAGAAGAUAUGUGAUGCUUAUUAUCUUCCUGAAUGGUGU